CGGUGUUUAACUGGCGUGAUGUGGGACGUCCUACCGGUGGGCUUAGCCUCGCGAGGGGCGGCCCAACUAAUAUCCCGUCGCGGUGCUCUUUACUGAGUGUCGAGUCGGGCCGGUACGUUUACUUUGAACAAAUUAGAGUGCUUAAAGCAGGCUAUCCUCGCCUGAAUACUGCGUGCAUGGAAUAAUGGAAUAGGACCUCGGUUCUAUUUUGUUGGUUUUCGGAACCCCGAGGUAAUGAUUAAUAGGGACAGAUGGGGGCAUUCGUAUUGCGACGUUAGAGGUGAAAUUCUUGGAUCGUCGCAAGACGGACAGAAGCGAAAGCAUUUGCCAAAAAUGUUUUCAUUAAUCAAGAACGAAAGUUAGAGGUUCGAAGGCGAUCAGAUACCGCCCUAGUUCUAACCAUAAACGAUGCCAGCUAGCGAUCCGCCGAAGUUCCUCCGAUGACUCGGCGGGCAGCUUCCGGGAAACCAAAGCUUUUGGGUUCCGGGGGAAGUAUGGUUGCAAAGCUGAAACUUAAAGGAAUUGACGGAAGGGCACCACCAGGAGUGGAGCCUGCGGCUUAAUUUGACUCAACACGGGAAACCUCACCAGGCCCAGACACCGGAAGGAUUGACAGAUUGAUAGCUCUUUCUUGAUUCGGUGGGGGGUGGGGCAUGGCCGUUUUUAGUUGGUGGAGAGAUUUGUCUGGUUAAUUCUGAUAACGAACGAGACUCUAGCCUGCUAAAUAGGCGUACCUUAUGGUAUCGCGAAGGCCCCCGGCUUCGGCCGGUGGGUUUUUACUACCAACGUACAAACAAAUCUUCUAGAGGGACAGGCGG
RNAcentral lists this ribosomal RNA (818 nucleotides) under uncultured eukaryote. Its description in RNAcentral is "SSU rRNA". It matches the Rfam family "Eukaryotic small subunit ribosomal RNA", at positions 629 to 1426 of the family's 1831-position model. The record is from RNAcentral.